UUAUUCUGACACCAGUAGUCUCUAAUCAUAAUGAGCAAUGGAAUGACUAUUUACUUUGUUUUUCAAGUAAAACUCAGAAGGUGAGGGAGUUUUACUCUGUUUUAAGGUGAUUGAUACCAUAGAUCAUGGUUAGAGACCCCAUUAAGGACAAUCAAGGAACUACUACAGUUGUGAAAGACUUUUCUGGAAACCAGCCACAUAUUUAACCUACUAGUUAAACCUUGGGAGGUGUUUACAUAGAUAUAAUUAUUGUCAGUGGGAUUAAACUCUCUUGAAAUGUUUACCAGGUCAAAUUCAUAAAUAAAACUUUAAGCUUCUGAGCUGAGUGAGGAAGUUGUAUUCACUCACUAGGCAUUCUGCCUCAUCCCUGUUCAACCCCCACAUAAAAAUCCCCUCCCACAUUAAAAACAUUUCCAUCAGGGGUUGGAGCUCCAAAGAUGGGUUGCUGAAAUUUCCAAUGGCCUGUAUUGAGGCCAUAGUAAUUAAUUAACAUAGCAGGCCCUAAGAUUGAAAUGUUGUUGCACACAACUAAUUCUCUUGGUUAAUAAUAUGGCUACCGCUCUCUCAGCAGCUUUGACUGAGCUCUCAAAACACCUCCUGGCUCCUGGCUAUUUUGCUAAUACCUUGGGGAUGAAAAGGGAAUUAAAAAAACAAAAAAAAUGGUACAACCAAGUAAUACUUCUGUGAUAUACAGUCAGAUAUAUAUAGUCAGUAGACUCUGCAGAUGGAAUGGUAUAGUAGCAGAAAGUCUGCCUUUAAAUCACAUGGUAAUCCCAGCCACUGAGUGAUGGAAAACAGUUUUGUCAUUUCUUGCUAAUUACAGUGUAUUAUACCACCACAACUUAAAAUGUCAUCCAUGGUCAUUAAAAGAACAGCAGCAGUUCUGACAUGUAACAGUCACCACACUGAUCGAGUCCUCCAAAUGGUUGGUAAAAUCACCCCAGGAUUUUUCCACUUCAGCUACAUCAACUGGUGGGAUCUCUGAGUAGGAGGUAUGGCUAGGGGGGGGGCAUAUUUAUUAGGGCUUAGUAUGAAGGAAUUCAAAAGGUUAGUCAUUGAAUGGACUGCUUGGUCCAUUUUCACAGCCAGUGCCAAAAGCAAAGUGUUUUAGUGUUUUUACAUUUUUGUAAUAGGGGCAUUUGCAGGGACAUUUGUUUAAGGUUCUGUCCCAUUUUUGCUUGAAUUAACUGAUGAUGAGGUAGCUGCGACAGCAUCUGUAUAGGUAUGUUGGUCUUUCUUACUCUCUGAUUGUGCUGUAUAUCCACAGGAGUCUGAAAAGAAAUGUUGAUGGUUUCCUUCAUAAGGAACAAUGUAGCAGCAGGUUAGAGUAGGUCACCAGAAAGGCCGUCUUCCUGCAAUACCACAAAUACAGGGCUAACACCUUCCUUUUAUUGUAUAAGGCCAUGCUGUAAUCUGGGGCCAUGGGCACCAAGUGGCCAUCUAUCUUCAAGAUUCUGUCCUAGGUUCUAAGUUUCUCUAGUAUUGAUUCCUGUCAGUCAUUCAAGCAUUUGAAAAUAAAAUGCCUCAGCUGAUUAGCCCAUUUGGCUCUACCAUUCUACCCCAUACCCCAUAUGCCCAUUCUCUAACUGGGGUAGAUGUACCCUCGAAGAGUACAAGCAGGGCAUUCCUAAUAUACAAAGUCGGUUCUAACUCUUCCACUCUGUCAGGCACCUCAGUAAUGCUGUUUCUCCAAGCCCGAUUUUUGAUAGCCUCUGAUUUGGCCUCCAUGCUAUAGGGUCAGUCUGAAAGGGCUUUUUAGAGAUGAUGAGUGCUGUGACGCUACAACUGUCUGAUCUGACAGCUCUUUUGCUUGGAAUGGUAAGGCUGUUUGGAUCUCUGUUAACUUAUUCUUGUAGCUUGCAGACAACGUUUUAAUUUAUUUCACAUCUGUUGCCUGGGGUGUAUUUUUUGCUUCUAAACAAGUCAACAGACAUCUUUUGUCAGGAACUUUGUGGUAAGGGUGUUGGUAUUAAUGGCCCUUUUUUGUAGUGGACAUUAGAAUCUACACUGAUUUCACUUUUUUUCUGCCAAUUAAGUCCAUGUUAUAUGGCACAGCUAUGUUGAGUAGAUUAUUUAUGUACAGACCAUCAAAUACACUAAACCAAAACUCAGACUUGCCUCUUUUCCAUUCAGACACUUCCAGUAAGACAUGGCUGGAAAUUGAUGUCACCUGAGUUUGCCUACAGGACUAUGAAUUUCAGUCUCUGCUUCAAGCAGGUACAGAUGCAUUGACAAAUUUCUCUAGGCAGCACGUGUUGUCAUAGUAGCUUAGGUCCCUGUAUCAAUCUUGAAACUUACUUUGAGUUCUAUGAAUAGGAAGUUUCCCUUGCCAGUUUGGUUCAGUGAUAGAUAUAGGAAUGACUGUUCCCAGGAAAACCACUUUCUGAAUAUUAUUUUCAGUUUUAUUUUCAGAAAUAACUUUAAUUGGUUUUGCCUUGCAAACAGCAGUGAGCUUUCCCAGUCUUUUAAACCUCUGGCUCCUCUUGCUAUGUUCAACAUACUGUUCUGACUCAGCAUGGUAAUAAUCACACCUUGCGAAUUGGCUAGGUAUAUGUAUUCACUCAGGUUCUUGUGUAUUCUUGUUUGGCCAGAACUGUGUCUCUUUUUUGAAGUUGCCAUUAUCUCUGCAUUUUACCCCCCAAGCAUCAUUUGCCUUAUUUAAAUUUGCAUUCUCUUUCUUAACUAAUUUCACCCCUUUGGUGAUUUGUAUUGACUUUUCUAAAGUUAAAUUUACUAGUUGUAAAAUUUGAGACACUUCUACAUCUUUCAGCCCAGUCACAAUACUGCCUUUUUUAUCUUUAGUAACAUUAAACCCCAAAUUAUCAGCUAUUUGAUCCAACUUUCUUACAGAAAACUAUAACAUACUCACCUGGCAAGCAUGGGAUUUUUCAAAAAGCUGAGCCAGACCCAAGCUAAUGGUCUAGCUUGGUUUUGGAACCCAAUAAGGGCAAAGCCAGGCCUCAUAAAGUGGAAAGAAAUGUAGAAAAGAAAAAUCACUAGAACCAAGGUAGGUAGGUAGGGCACACAACAAAACGAAAAAUCACUAGAACCAAGGUAGGUAGGUAGGGAGCACAACGAAAAGAAAAAUCACUAGAACCAAGGUAGGUAGGUAGGGCACACAACGAAAAGAAAAAUCACUAGAACCAAGGUAGGUAGGGUACACAACAAAAAGAAAAAUCACUAGAACCAAGGUAGGUAGGGCACACAACGAAAAGAAAAAUCACUAGAACCAAGGUAGGUAGGUAGGGCACACAACAAAACGAAAAAUCACUAGAACCAAGGUAGGUAGGGUACACAACAAAAUAAAUCACUAGAACCAAGGUAGGUAGGUAGGGAGCACAACGAAAAUAAAAAUCACUAGAACCAAGGUAGGUAAGAAGGGCACACAACAAAAUGAAAAAUCACUAGAACCAAGGUAGGUAGGUAGGGAGCACAACGAAAAGAAAAAUCACUAGAACCAAGGUAGGUAGGUAGGUAGGGCACACAACGAAAAGAAAAAUCACUAGAACCAAGGUAGGUAGGGUACACAACAAAAAGAAAAAUCACUAGAACCAAGGUAGGUAGGUAGGGCACACAACGAAAAGAAAAAUCACUAGAACCAAGGUAGGUAGGUAGGGCGCACAACGAAAAGGAAAAUCACUAGAACCAAGGUAGGUAGGGCACACAACAAAAAGAAAAAUCACUAGAACCAAGGUAGGUAGGUAGGGCACACAACAAAAAGGAAAAUCACUAGAACCAAGGUAGGUAGGGCACACAACGAAAAGAAAAAUCACUAGAACCAAGGUAGGUAGGUAGGGCACACAACAAAACGAAAAAUCACUAGAACCAAGGUAGGUAGGUAGGGAGCACAACGAAAAGAAAAAUCACUAGAACCAAGGUAGGAAGGUAGGGCACACAAUGAAAAGAAAAAUCACUAGAACCAAGGUAGGUAGGGUACACAACAAAAAGAAAAAUCACUAGAACCAAGGUAGGUAGGGCACACAACGAAAAGAAAAAUCACUAGAACCAAGGUAGGUAGGGUACACAACAAAAAGAAAAAUAACUAGAACCAAGGUAGGUAGGUAGGGCACACAAUGAAAAGAAAAAUCACUAGAACCAAGGUAGGUAGGGUACACAACAAAAAGAAAAAUCACUAGAACCAAGGUAGGUAGGUAGGGCAUACAACGAAAAGAAAAAUCACUAGAACCAAGGUAGGUAGGUAGGGCGCACAAUGAAAAGGAAAAUCACUAGAACCAAGGUAGGUAGGUAGGGCACACAAAAUGAAAAAUCACUAGAACCAAGGUAGGUAGGUAGGGAGCACAAUGAAAAGAAAAAUCACUAGAACCAAGGUAGGUAGGUAGGGCACACAACGAAAAGAAAAAUCACUAGAACCAAGAUAGGUAGGGUACACAACAAAUAGAAAAAUCACUAGAACCAAGGUAGGUAGGUAGGGCACACAACGAAAAGAAAAAUCACUAGAACCAAGGUAGGUAGGGUACACAACAAAAAGAAAAAUCACUAGAACCAAGGUAGGUAGGUAGGGCACACAACGAAAAGAAAAAUCACUAGAACCAAGGUAGGUAGGUAGGGCACACAAUGAAAAGAAAAAUCACUAGAACCAAGGUAGGUAGGGUACACAACAAAAAGAAAAAUCACUAGAACCAAGGUAGGUAGGUAGGGCACACAACAAAAUGAAAAAUCACUAGAACCAAGGUAGGUAGGUAGGGCACACAACGAAAAGAAAAAUCACUAGAACCAAGAUAGGUAGGUAGGGCACACAAUGAAAAGAAAAAUAACUAGAACCAAGGUAGGUAGGGUACACAACAAAAAGAAAAAUUACUAGAACCAAGGUAGGUAGGUAAGGCACACAACAAAAAGAAAAAUCACUAGAACCAAGGUAGGUAGGUAGGGCACACAAUGAAAAGAAAAAUCACUAGAACCAAGGUAGGUAGGUAAGAUGCACAACGAAAAGGAAAAUCACUAGAACCAAGGUAGGUAGGGCACACAACAAAAAGAAAAAUCUCUAGAACCAAGGUAGGUAGGUAGGGCACACAACGAAAAGAAAAAUUACUAGAACCAAGGUAGGUAGGUAGGGCACACAA
Molecule: long non-coding RNA, 5081 nt
Organism: Protopterus annectens (West African lungfish)
Lineage: Eukaryota; Metazoa; Chordata; Ceratodontiformes; Protopteridae
Exons: 2
Source: RefSeq, a predicted model, not a curated record